This 460-nucleotide ribosomal RNA is filed under the name uncultured bacterium. Its description in RNAcentral is "partial 16S ribosomal RNA". It matches the Rfam family "Bacterial small subunit ribosomal RNA", at positions 338 to 795 of the family's 1533-position model. The record is from RNAcentral.
CCUACGGGGGGCAGCAGUGAGGAAUAUUGGUCAAUGGGCGCGAGCCUGAACCAGCCAAGUAGCGUGAAGGAUGACUGCCCUACGGGUUGUAAACUUCUUUUAUAAAGGAAUAAAGUGAGGCACGUGUGCCUUUAUGUAUGUACUUUAUGAAUAAGGAUCGGCUAACUCCGUGCCAGCCGCCGCGGUAAUACGGAGGAGACGAGCGUUAUCCGGAUUUAUUGGGUUGACAGGGAGCGUAGAUGGGUUGUUAAGUCAGUUGUGAAAGUUUGCGGCUCAACCGUAAAAUUGCAAUUGAUACUGGCAGCCUUGAGUACAGUUGAGGUAGGCGGAAUUCGUGGUGUAGCGGUGAAAUGCUUAGAUAUCACGAAGAACUCCGAUUGCGAAGGCAGCCUACUAACCUGCCACUGACAUUGAUGCUCGAAAGUGUGGGUAUCAAACAGGAUUAGAUACCCCUGUAGUC